AUAAUCCUAGUAUAUAAGUACAUUUGACUUCCAAUCAAAAAGUUUGAAAAAAUCAAGAAUUAUA
This 64-nucleotide transfer RNA is filed under the name Paragavialidium sichuanense. RNAcentral describes it as "tRNA-Gly". The record is from RNAcentral. Lineage: Eukaryota; Metazoa; Arthropoda; Insecta; Orthoptera; Tetrigidae.